This 74-nucleotide transfer RNA is filed under the name Loxodonta africana (African savanna elephant). It matches the Rfam family "tRNA". Rfam says of the family: Transfer RNA (tRNA) molecules are approximately 80 nucleotides in length. Their secondary structure includes four short double-helical elements and three loops (D, anti-codon, and T loops). Further hydrogen bonds mediate the characteristic L-shaped molecular structure. tRNAs have two regions of fundamental functional importance: the anti-codon, which is responsible for specific mRNA codon recognition, and the 3' end, to which the tRNAs corresponding amino acid is attached (by aminoacyl-tRNA synthetases). tRNAs cope with the degeneracy of the genetic code in two manners: having more than one tRNA (with a specific anti-codon) for a particular amino acid; and 'wobble' base-pairing, i.e. permitting non-standard base-pairing at the 3rd anti-codon position. Lineage: Eukaryota; Metazoa; Chordata; Mammalia; Proboscidea; Elephantidae. The record is from Rfam by way of RNAcentral.
UCCUGGGUGGUGCAAAUGGUUAACACGCUGGGCUGCUAACUGAAAUAUUGGAGGUUCGAGUCCACCCUGAGGAA